Molecule: ribosomal RNA, 467 nt
Filed under: uncultured bacterium
Lineage: Bacteria
Description: partial 16S ribosomal RNA
Rfam family: Bacterial small subunit ribosomal RNA
Source: RNAcentral
GACGAACGCUGGCGGCGUGCUUAACACAUGCAAGUCGAACGGAAAGGCCCUGCUUUUGUGGGGUGCUCGAGUGGCGAACGGGUGAGUAACACGUGAGUAACCUGCCCUUGACUUUGGGAUAACUUCAGGAAACUGGGGCUAAUACCGGAUAGGAGCUCCUGCUGCAUGGUGGGGGUUGGAAAGUUUCGGCGGUUGGGGAUGGACUCGCGGCUUAUCAGCUUGUUGGUGGGGUAGUGGCUUACCAAGGCUUUGACGGGUAGCCGGCCUGAGAGGGUGACCGGCCACAUUGGGAAUGAGAUACGGCCCAGACUCCUACGGGAGGCAGCAGUGGGGAAUAUUGCACAAUGGGCGGAAGCCUGAUGCAGCAACGCCGCGUGCGGGAUGACGGCCUUCGGGUGGUAAACCGCUUUCGCCUGUGACGAAGCGUGAGUGACGGUAAUGGGGAAAGAAGCACCGGCGAACUACGU